Fragaria vesca subsp. vesca is the source of this 929-nucleotide RNA transcript. RefSeq lists it as uncharacterized. The record is from RefSeq and is a predicted model, not a curated record. Lineage: Eukaryota; Viridiplantae; Streptophyta; Magnoliopsida; Rosales; Rosaceae. The transcript is spliced from 3 exons.
UGUCUUUCGUAGUAACCACAUCCUCCAUUGUCAGCACUUCAUAUAUUAACCUACGGGGCGGUUCUAGGUUGAAAUGUUGUGAGAGUACUUGUAAAAGUUCAUACUUUCCCUUUAUGCAUUGCAAGUAUCAGUCUUGCAUUAUUGAGAAUAUCUCAACAUCCAUGCUGAUGAAUUGCACAAAACCCAAUUUUCAAUCCUUCAGUGAUGAAGACACAGUUUCUAUUGAUUUGGGUGAUCAAGGAAAUGAAGAUGGUGAAGAUAUAGAUUCACCAUGGGAAGGGGCAGUCGUUUACAAGAGAAACGUAUUACAUUAAAGAGGCUUGGGCUGGGAAACCUUUCGACCGAGGUCUCCAAAUCUAGGGCUUCAGUGAUGGGGUUACGGGUCACCAAAGCUGUUAAGGAUUAUCCAAACGGCACGCCAGUUCAGAUUUCCAUUGACAUAACAAGGAGGAAGCAAAAACUGAGGCUUGAUGGGAUCAUUAAAACUGUCAUCAGUCUGACUUGCAACAGGUGUGGUGAUCCAGCAGCUGAGUCCAUCUUCUCCAACUUCUCACUUCUCUUAAUUGAUGAACAUAGAAGAACCUGAUAUUAUCAAUAUGGGAGUAAUGUAUGGAGACAAUAUCAAAAGUCAUACGGGAUUUGGUGGAGGAAAAUGAUGAUGACUCGGUUGAUUUUGGAGGAUCAGCUGUAUUACCACCCUGAGGACAAAGAAAUGGACAUUUCAAAGCACAUAAGAGACUGGUGCAUCUGGAGAUUACUAUCUCUGCGACAUGUAUCCAAAUUGCAAGGGUCUGUGUCUCAAGUGUGGUAAAAAUUUGAACACUAGCAGUUGUAUUUGUGGCAAACAGGAGGCAUUGCAGGAGAAGGUGGACAUUAACAACUACGAUUACAAGAGAAUUCCGCGACCAAAUGAAGAUAAGUCACACUAG